GAUGAAGAACGCAGCGAAAUGCGAUAACUAAUGUGAAUUGCAGAAUUCCGUGAAUCAUUGAGUCUUUGAACGCACAUUGCGCCCCCUGGUAUUCCGGGGGGCAUGCCUGUCCGAGCGUCAUUACAACCCUCAAGCUCAGCUUGGUGUUGGGCCCCGCCGCCCCGGCGGGCCCUAAAGUCAGUGGCGGUGCCGUCCGGCUCCGAGCGUAGUAAUUCUUCUCGCUCUGGAGGUCCGGUCGUGUGCUCGCCAGCAACCCCCAAUUUUUUUCAGGUUGACCUCGGAUCAGGUAGGGAUACCCGCUGAACUUAAGCAUAUCAAUAAGCGGAGGA
RNAcentral lists this unclassified non-coding RNA (329 nucleotides) under soil metagenome. RNAcentral describes it as "partial contains 5.8S ribosomal RNA, internal transcribed spacer 2, and large subunit ribosomal RNA". The stretch from base 1 to 120 matches the Rfam family "5.8S ribosomal RNA", at positions 35 to 154 of the family's 154-position model. The record is from RNAcentral.